AUGGCUUAGUGGAAAAAGCCUGACCUGGGGAGUCAGAGGUCGUGGGUUCUAAUCCCAGCU
Non-coding RNA from Ornithorhynchus anatinus (platypus), 60 nucleotides. Lineage: Eukaryota; Metazoa; Chordata; Mammalia; Monotremata; Ornithorhynchidae. The record is from Rfam.